RNAcentral lists this small RNA (89 nucleotides) under uncultured Micromonas. RNAcentral describes it as "partial transfer-messenger RNA". Lineage: Eukaryota; Viridiplantae; Chlorophyta; Mamiellophyceae; Mamiellales. The record is from RNAcentral.
UCAAGGCUGGGCUGAAGCUCGUCAACGUCGAAAACAAUCAAAAUGCCAAAAACGAUAACCAAACAAAGUCGGCGGUGGACGCCAAACGC